Molecule: ribosomal RNA, 244 nt
Filed under: uncultured bacterium
Lineage: Bacteria
Description: partial small subunit ribosomal RNA
Rfam family: Bacterial small subunit ribosomal RNA
Source: RNAcentral
AGAAUCAACGCUGGCGGCGUGCCUAACACAUGCAAGUCGCACGAGAAAGGGAGCAAUCCCUGAGUAAAGUGGCGCACGGGUGAGUAACACGUGAAUCAUCUACCUCCGAGUGGGGAAUAAACCUAGAGAAAUCUGGGCUAAUACCGCAUAACACUUACGAGUCAAAGCAGCAAUGCGCUUGGAGAGGAGUUCGCGGCCGAUUAGCUAGUUGGCGGGUAAUGGCCCACCAAGGCGAUGAUCGGUA